GUGAGUCAUCGAAUCUUUGAACGCAAAUUGCACUCUUCGGUAUUCUGAGGAGUAUGCCUGUUUGAGGGUCGCUUAACAAACAUCGAUUUCAUUGCUUUUUUUUUUAGUAAUGUUUAUCGGAUUUGAGCCGUCUUUUUUUUUAUAUUAAAGUGGCUUAAAAUUGAUUUUUCUGGUAUGAUCCAAGCGUAUUUAUGAUCAAUUUUUGGUUAAAGAAACGCAUACGUACCAUCAUUCAUAUGAUGUAAUACGUUUGACUAUUGGAUUAGUUCAUUCGUAUACGAUAUUUUUCAAAUUUUGACC
This 300-nucleotide unclassified non-coding RNA is filed under the name uncultured Septoglomus. RNAcentral describes it as "sequence contains 5.8S rRNA gene, ITS2". The stretch from base 1 to 71 matches the Rfam family "5.8S ribosomal RNA", at positions 84 to 154 of the family's 154-position model. The record is from RNAcentral. Lineage: Eukaryota; Fungi; Glomeromycota; Glomeromycetes; Glomerales; Glomeraceae.